Molecule: unclassified non-coding RNA, 218 nt
Filed under: Glomeraceae sp.
Lineage: Eukaryota; Fungi; Glomeromycota; Glomeromycetes; Glomerales; Glomeraceae
Description: partial contains 5.8S ribosomal RNA and internal transcribed spacer 2
Rfam family: 5.8S ribosomal RNA (bases 1-71)
Source: RNAcentral
GUGAAUCAUCGAAUCUUUGAACGCAAAUUGCACUCUCUGGUAUUCCGGAGAGUAUGCCUGUUUGAGGGCAAGUUUAAAUAAAAAUCGUGGUGGUGGCUGCCUUCCUUGGUGAGGCACCGGAUUUGGGUCUCUUUGCCUUGGGUAAAGGGACCUAAAAUUUUGCAUGAUUUUUUUCGAAGGUAUUUAAAUAUUUUAACUAACGUUUCCGUUACGAAAUA